UACGUAGGGUGCGAGCGUUAAUCGGAAUUACUGGGCGUAAAGCGUGCGCAGGCGGCUUUGCAAGACAGAUGUGAAAUCCCCGGGCUCAACCUGGGAACUGCAUUUGUGACUGCAAGGCUAGAGUACGGCAGAGGGGGAUGGAAUACCGCGUGUAGCAGUGAAAUGCGUAGAUAUGCGGAGGAACACCAAUGGCGAAGGCAAUCCCCUGGGCCUGUACUGACGCUCAUGCACGAAAGCGUGGGGAGCAAACAGG
RNAcentral lists this ribosomal RNA (253 nucleotides) under uncultured bacterium. RNAcentral describes it as "partial 16S ribosomal RNA". It matches the Rfam family "Bacterial small subunit ribosomal RNA", at positions 524 to 776 of the family's 1533-position model. The record is from RNAcentral.